GGGCCCGCACAAGCGGUGGAGCAUGUGGUUUAAUUCGAUGAUACGCGAGGAACCUUACCAGGGCUUAAAUGGGAAAUGACAGGGGCAGAGACGCCCCCUUCUUCGGACAUUUUUCUAAGGUGCUGCAUGGUUGUCGUCAGCUCGUGCCGUGAGGUGUCAGGUUAAGUCCUAUAACGAGCGCAACCCCUACCGUUAGUUGCCAGCGUGUAAUGACGGGGACUCUAACGGAACUGCCGGUGCAAACCGUGAGGAAGGUGGGGACGACGUCAAAUCAUCACGGCCCUUACGUCCUGGGCCACACACGUGCUACAAUGGUAGGUACAGAGGGAAGCAAGUUUGCAAAGACAAGCCAAUCUCAUAAACUCGGUCUCAGUUCGGAUUGCAGGCUGCAACUCGCCUGCAUGAAGUUGGAAUCGCUAGUAAUCG
This 426-nucleotide ribosomal RNA is filed under the name uncultured bacterium. Its description in RNAcentral is "bacterial SSU rRNA". It matches the Rfam family "Bacterial small subunit ribosomal RNA", at positions 917 to 1344 of the family's 1533-position model. The record is from RNAcentral.